AUCGGGUUCUCCCUGGGGAGUAUGACACUCCCCGACGAGCAAGGGAAGUACACUCACUCCCCAGGACGGCUCCGCAGACGCAGACCGAAGCUUAUGGUGGGAGGGUGCAUUCUAGGAAGAGGAAAUGGAAAAAGAACAAAUCACCUGCUGCCUCGGCAGGACAGGAUUUCUGCCAAUCCCACCUGUAAGCAGCGUUCAUGGCUUCCAGACAAAGUGGGGGCCCGGGGCCUGCAGAACAGUCGGCCACAUUCACCAGCCUGUCUCUCCUCUGGACCUCUUGGCACAAGCUUUUACUCUCCAGACUGUGUGUGUUUGGUUGAAUUGAAAUAAACACAGCAGGAUUUUGUUUUAGUUUGUUGUUUGUUUUGCAGAACGAGGUCUUAGAGGAAGGACUUCCCAGCCAAACUUGACCCCACACAGGCCAGAGAGAAGCGGUAGGGAGGGCGGCGAGAAGGAACUAUGAAGUAAAAUGGGGACUGGUGUGGGGACUGACUUCCUCCCCCAAAAACCUGGAAC
RNAcentral lists this long non-coding RNA (516 nucleotides) under Homo sapiens (human). RNAcentral's name for it is "HSALNT0213239". Lineage: Eukaryota; Metazoa; Chordata; Mammalia; Primates; Hominidae. The record is from RNAcentral.